AAGUGGCGAAGAAAGAUCGACACUUGGCGGCAGAGAUAACAGAAAACCAUGGGCGAGUUUCAUCAGUUUCUUCAACACCACCCACAUGUAACGCUUGAUUCGACUUAGAGUGUAACGCCCGUAGUGAGUGGUGGGCCUCCGAUACAUGGUAGCCACGUUCGAAUUCGAGAUCGCUUUAAACGACGAGCUAUGGUUUGUUAACGCAUAGUAUGAAGAAGAAGAAGACCCGCCAAAGAUGGAUCUUUGUUUUUUUUUUUUUUUUUAAUGCUUUUUCACUUUCAUGUUUUGUUAUUUCUGAUUUCAUCCGUAUUUAUGUUUUUUUUUGUUUUUGUUUUGUUCCAUACUCUUUUUUCGUAUGUUCUGUUCCUUGAGUUUUGGUUGUUUAAAUUGUAGGUGUUUUUUUUUUUUUUGGUCAAACAAUUAAAUUGCAGGUUUUGAUUAUUUAAUUUGUAGAAUUUGUGUUUGCUAAGUUGCAGGUUUGGUUUGUCUAAGCUACAUAGAUUGUAGGUUUUGGUGAAUUAAUUAAUUUGCAGAAUUUGGCUGUCGAAGUUGCAGGUUUUAGAUGUCUAAAUUGCAGGUUUUGGUUUUGAUUUAUAUAAGUUGCAGAUUUGGUUUGAAAAAUUUGCAGGUUUUGGUUUUCUAAGUUGAUUGCAGGUUUUAAGUGAAUUAUUUCAGGUUUAGUUGAUCUCUCUUUGGUUUUUUUCUUUUGCAAAAGAUUUGGCGUUUCUUUCUUUUACAUGGUUUCUUAUGCUAGGCUCCAUGAAGAUGAUCAGAGAGUCACAUUACCACCAGAGUUGCUGGAACAAUGUUAGGAGAUAUGGCUCCUGAAUAUGCAAUGAGGGGUCACCUAACAGAAAAGGCAGAUUUUUACAGCUUCGGUGUGGUGGUAAUGUCGCUUUUUAGCUGAAAGAACAUCACAAAAUAGACUCCAGAUGAGGAAUGAUAAAGGUUUCACUUUAAUGCUCAAACAAGUCUCCGACAUUAAGGCCAAGCAAGUCGGGAGUUGUAAAGAUGCUUGAAGGGGAGCACAUCAUCAGACCUUGGAGUGUAUGGUGCUGACUUGCGCUUCAAUCCAUCAGCUUUUCCUUCUGAUGGCAUCAUGUCAGAUUACGCCGUCCUCUGAAUCUACUUAUGAUCUCAUUCACUCAAUGAUCUGUACUCACUCAAUUUUGGUGCAAAGAAAACACAUAUGUUAGCUAACCAACGGUGCAUCACAAAUGAUUACAAUAACUUAUCUUACUUUUGACAAGGGGGAUAGUUGUUUUACUAGUGUUUGAUUUACAUGAUCAAAUUUAUUCAAUUCAAUUUCCACA
Non-coding RNA from Camelina sativa (false flax), 1313 nucleotides. NCBI's taxonomy places the organism in Eukaryota, Viridiplantae, Streptophyta, Magnoliopsida, Brassicales, Brassicaceae. The record is from RefSeq and is a predicted model, not a curated record.